UUCGCUAGUAAUCGCGCAUCAGCCACGGCGCGGUGAAUACGUUCCCGGGCCUUGUACACACCGCCCGUCAAGCCAUGAAAGCCGGGGGUACCUGAAGUGCGUAACCGCAAGGAGCGCCCUAGGGUAAAACUGGUGAUUGGGGCUAAGUCGUAACAAGGUAGCCGUACCGGAAGGUGCGGCUGGAACACCUCCUUUCUGGAG
RNAcentral lists this ribosomal RNA (201 nucleotides) under Phocaeicola dorei. RNAcentral's name for it is "Bacteroides dorei partial 16S ribosomal RNA". It matches the Rfam family "Bacterial small subunit ribosomal RNA", at positions 1331 to 1533 of the family's 1533-position model. The record is from RNAcentral. Lineage: Bacteria; Pseudomonadati; Bacteroidota; Bacteroidia; Bacteroidales; Bacteroidaceae.